RNAcentral lists this long non-coding RNA (7175 nucleotides) under Triticum aestivum (bread wheat). RNAcentral's name for it is "long non-coding RNA (TAES_LNC008737)". The stretch from base 5355 to 5458 matches the Rfam family "Plant small nucleolar RNA R71". The record is from RNAcentral. Lineage: Eukaryota; Viridiplantae; Streptophyta; Magnoliopsida; Poales; Poaceae.
CCGAUUUAAAUGAAUAACCGUCUCACAUCAAACAAGAUCCAGAUAUAAUGUUCAUGCUUAACGCUGGCACCAAAUAACAAUUAUUCAGAUCUAAAACUAAUCCCGAAGGUAGAUGUAGAGGUAGCGUGCCGACGGCGAUCACAUCGACUUUGGAACCAUUUCCCACGUGCAUCGUCACCUGUCCUUAGCCAAUCUUCGUUUAAUCCGUAGCCCCUGUUUCGAGUUGCAAAUAUGAGCAACAGAACCAGUAUCAAAUACCCAGGCGCUACUAUGAGCAUUAGUAAGGUACACAUCAAUAACAUGUAUACCAAAUAUACCUUUCACUUUGCCAUCCUUCUUAUCCGCCAAAUACUUGGGGCGGUUCCGCUUGAAGUGACCAGUCCCUUUGCAGUAGAAGCACUCAGUCUCAGGCUUAGGUCCAGACUUGGGCUUCUUCACUUGAGCAGCAACUUGCUUGCCGUUCUUCUUGAAAUUCCCCUUCUUCCCUUUGCCAUUUUUCUUGAAACUAGUGGUCUUGUUAACCAUCAACACUUGAUGCUCCUUCUUGAUUUCUACCUCCGCAGCCUUUAGCAUCGCGAAGAGCUCGGGAAUUGUCUUAUCCAUCCCUUGCAUAUUAUAGUUCAUCACGAAGCUUUCGUAGCUUGGUGGCAGUGAUUGAAGAACUAUGUCAAUGACACUAUCAACAGGAAGAUUAACUCCCAGUUGAGCCAAGUGAUUGUGGUACCCAGACAUUUUGAGUAUAUAUUCACUGAUAGAACUAUUCUUCUCCAUUUUGCAGCUGUAGAAUUUAUUGGAGACUUCAUAUCUCUCAAUCUGGGCAUUUGCUUAAAAUAUUAACUUCAACUCCUGAAACAUCUCAUAUGCUCGACGACGUUCAAAAUGUCGUUGAAGUCCCGGUUCUAAGUCGUAAAGCAUGGCACACUGAACUAUCGAGUAGUCUUCAGCUUUGCUCUGCCAGACGUUCAUAACAUCUGGAGUUGCUCCUGCAGCGGGUCUUGCACCUAGCGGUGCUUUCAGGACGUAAUUCUUCUGUGCAGCAAUGAGGAUAAUCCUCAAGUUAUGGACCCAGUCCGUGUAGUUGCUACCAUCAUCUUUCAACUUAGCUUUCUCUAAGAACGCAUUAAAAUUCAAAAGAAUAGUAGCACGGGCCAUUGAUUUACAACAACAUAGACAUGCAAAAUACAAUCAGGUACUAAGUUCAUGACAAAUUAAAGUUCAAUUAAUAAUAUUACUUAAGAACUCCCACUUAGAUAGACAUCCCUCUAAUCAUCUAAAUGAUCACGUGAUCCAUAUCAACUAAACCAUGUCCGAUCAUCACAUGAGAUGGAGUAGUUUUCAAUGGUGAACAUCACUAUAUUGAUCAUAUCUGAUCAAUUGAAAGUAUAGUGGGGUUUUUACGCCCAAACUACCGGAUGUCGUGUUCUCCGCAGGGACUAGGCAUAUCGAUGAUCGUGCUUGGCUAAAGCUAGGUAACACAAUUCAGCUUAUGAACGCAAAAAUAAAACCUAAACUAUCAAUGAUUGUCGCCAAAGAAAAUGCAGAUAAGCAAAGGUAGAUUCAGAUUUUACUUGAUGUAUUUUUUUGGUGUUUUUGUUUUAGUUGAGAAAUAAAAUGCUAACACAAGCAAACAUCAUUGGCUAGGGAAUUAAAAAGACAUGAACAUAUAUAUAACUCGCUAACAUAUAACAGGGGGAAGAAACAUAAUUAUGUGAUGAGAGAAAGAAGCUUCACAUCACCAACAUAUAUGUCAAAGGGACAAAGCUAGCACUGAUCACACAUAACAUGCACUAUAUCUUACAAGUACGAUACUGAACAAAUAUCAGGUUGCAAGAUCUUAUCAAAUCUGAAUAUUACAUGUACUACACGUCUCAAAUUUCAGAAAAUUCAGAGAUUAGAGGGAGAAAGAGAGAUAGCAGCAGCAAGAUUGAGGAGAGAGCAUCAACAAAGGGAGGUUGAGAGAGAGAUUCAGCAGAGGGUGUUGGAGAAGGAGAAGCAGCAGGGGGUGUAGCAAUAGAGAAGCAGCAAGGGGGCGCUGAGAGAAGAAGAGGCGCAAGGAGAGAGGUUGAGAGCAGCAGCAGCGGCAGGUAGAAGAAGUUGAGCGGAGGAGGAGCAGCAGUAGGGACGAGGGGAGGAGCAGCAGCGAAGGGGUUGAGAGAGAGAGAGAGACAGCAGGAGGUUGGAGUUCGGAGCAGCAGCAGCGUGGAGAGUUGAGAGAGCAGCAGCAGAGAAAUAGAAGAAGGAGCAGUAGCUUGGGCGCAAGAAGAGCAGCAGGGCGCAUAGGAAGAAGGAGCAGCAGCAGGUUGCAUGGAAGAAGGAGCAGCAGCAGGGGACGUUGAGAGAGAAGAGGAGCAAGAUCGGGGCAGCAAGGAGGAGAGAGGCGCUUGGUGCUGAUGGCGGCAGUGGCUGGAGAUGGUGGCGCUAGUGGAGUGGUGGAUGGAGGCUGCUGGUGGUGGGUAUGCUGGUGGAUGGAUGGGUGACGGAGGCGCACCACCACGUCGGCCUGGCCAUGGCGGCGGCCGGAGUUGGAUAAGGAGGGGUGAGGGAGAGAGAGAUGUGCCAGGCCCGAUUGGAUCCCUCCAGCGCCUAGGGAUUUUGUUCCCCUCCUCUCAUCUGCACUUUGUGAUUUGGCCCUCUUACUUCUCUUCUUUCUUCACAAGAAGAUCCUCCCACUUCUUCAGCUUGCCCCUGGUAACUUCUUUUCUUCUCUCUCGGGUCCUUGACUCCAUCACUUGAUCUUUUGUAGUAGAAGGAUUUUGUGCCUUGUCACACUUUUCUGCAAAAUAAACAAGUGACUAGUCAACAAUCCUUUUAUAUGAUUUUCAUUCAAUUAUUCCAUAUUUAAAACAAGAAUUGGUGGUCAGAACUCAACAAAUGGUAUAUUUGUAUGCCAAAAUUAUGUAUAAGAAAUGUGCUUAUCAAGUUCCCCCACACCUAAAUCUUUACUUGUCCUCAAGUAAAGGCAUAUGACAAGGGCAAGAUGGUGAAUAGUGACCUGACUAGAGAACGCCAAGUGAAGUAGAUCUCCAAACUAUGCAUGCUUUGGACUUAGUUAGUGAGAAUCAAUGGUUAAAAGUGUUACAAAGCAGUAGGAUACUAGUAGACUCAAUCAUUUUAAAAUUCUACAAUGGUAAAAGAAGAUCAACAAGUUCAAAUGAUGAUUGUGCCAAAUGGUUCCUAAAGAGAGCAUGAUCCCAAGAACAAAGCUUGUGAUCAAAUCACUUAUUUACAGAAAUAAAGCAAUGAUAUUAUUAUUACUAGCAAAAAGGCUCAUGCGUUGCAACGGGAGAAAAAAAUCCUCUCAUAUCUCUAGCUGGGUCAGUUGGACAAACUGUGUGUGGCCGGUUCGCAGGUUACGAGAUCGAACCUGUCAUCGGCAAUUCUAUUUUGUGCCAGCUCUCGGACCUGGGCCUCAGUGCGUCGCCAGGUGGGCAUUCUCCGUUGGGCCAAAACGGGUGGCAAGUAACGAAACCAAAUAGCGUACGUGAAAUUAAUUGAAGCGGGACCAAACGAAGCGGGACGAAACCAAGAAUAUCACCUCCCUUUAAUAGUAAAUUAGUCUCACCAAAGGAACAUACCACCGAUCCCGAGAACAUGGUAUACACCCGGCUCAACUAAUUAUUAGUUUUAGUUUUGUUUGUCUCCCCAAAGGAACAUACCACCGAUCCAGAGAACAUGGUAUACACCUGGUUCGACAAUUACAAUGUUUUUAAUAUAAUUAACUCUUAUCCAAUCCAACCAUAUUUCACAAGCCACCGAUCCAGGGAACAUGACAUGCUACUGUUAGGUAAGAUCAGAUAAUUAUUCAUUAUAAGAUUUUUUUUAAUGAACAACACAUAAGCACAAAAAACAGGAAUCCUCACUUCUCCAUGUCUGGUUCACAUGCUACCGAUCCAGGGAACAUAGCAUGCUAAUCCAUAGUGGUUAGGUGAUUGCUCUAAAUGGGAACACACUUGGCACAAAUUCGGCAUCUAAACAUGGUAAUCUAGGUGUAUCAUAGUAAAUGCAGAAAAUGACAUAGUUUACUAGUGCACUAGGGAUUUGAGCACUCAAAACUAAUAGUUCUCACUAAUUUCAGCAAAGCACGCAUGGUGUAGAUCACUAGUUUACAAGGCAUUCAACAAUCAGUUCGCAUAUUCUCAUCAAGCACCAUAUGUCAAAGGUGAAAUUCAGUGGGACAACAUUUAAGAAAUGGCACAAGCAACCCAAAUAAAAAUUUAAUUCAGCAAGCAUCAAUGGAUGAUGAUUUCAAAAUGGGUCAUGAAACAGCUCACCAGGCUUUGAUGAUGUAGCACUCGCUCGAUCACCUCACCAACUGCAGCUCCUCUCCUUUUGCUUCCUCAUACAUGCUCCAGCUUCACUCUUCCUCAUGUGUGCACAUUGCUUCUCCUCAUCACCAUGCCGUGAAUCCACCAGGAUCCCAUGGGAUGUCAUCUCGAACUUGGUCAGCCCGCAAUGAAUGGUGCACAAGCGUAAACCUGAAAGAACACUCAACAAACAAGCCAAAACAAGUGAUAGGGACAAUGCCCUCCAAGUCAUCAAUAGAGUAUCCUAUCACAUAAGCAUAUCUAUUGAGCAUAUCAUACACAUGUAUCAUCAAUUCACUUGGUGCAUAGGUAAUAUCAACGAUAUGACAUAACUUGUCGAGAAAGCUAAGAUAAUACCUGGGAUGAUCUGAGAGAAGUUUUAGGACUACCUUAGUUGAAGAUACUAUGGAAGGCAUGGUAGUAGAAACUUCCACCAGACUCGUGUCAACAAGUGAAAUAUUAGAGUUUGGCUUCUUGACAUCUAGAUCAACCUCAUCAUAAUCAACAAUGCAGGUUUCCAUCUCAGGCUCAAGUGUUGAGGAAUCAAUGUGGCUAAUGUCAUCAAAGGUGAACUUCUCCAUAUCUGGCUCUAGCAGCACAUGAUCAAUAUCAACUAAAGGUGACUCCUCAAUAUAAAAAACAACUAACUGCAGCUCUGGCUCAUCCAUGGAAGAAUCAUCACAAUGCAAAACUAAAUCUCCAACACUAGUAUCCAUAUGAUCUGAAGUGUGUGUGUCAACUAGGAUGGUGUCAUCAUCAUCAUCAAAGAUAAUCCAUGAAAGCUCAAUCUUGUUACACGGAGAAACUGGUUCCGACUUUUGUGUAAGAGAUUCUUGCUGAGAUGAAGUGAUUUGUUGCAAACAAGCAACUGAAUCAGAGAUGGGCUUCUCAUUGUACCACUGAAGUUGGUGGAAGGCUAUACUCUCAAUCAGCAGAAAAGCAUCAUCAAGUGUCUUGUUUGUAAUAGCUCCACCCGCUGCCAUAUCGAUGUAAGCUCGAGUGUCCGAAGUCAAUCCUCUAUAGAAUAUCUGCAACUCUAACCAUCUCUCGAGCCCGUGGUUAGGACAUCUCCUGAAUAAAACCUUGUAUCUCUCCCAAGCAUCAUACAAGCUCUCGUAUUCACGCUGAAUGAAAUUGAAGAUCUCAUCUCGAAUCACAGACUGCUUGUGUAGUGGGAAAUAUCUAUCCAAGAAAGCUCGUGAUAUCUCAUUCCAACUGUAUGACCUUGAUGGCAAGGAUCGAUACCAAGCAUGAGUAUCAUCACGGAGAGAGAAUGUGAACAACCUGCACAUGAUUGCAUCUUGAGGAACUCCAUGGUACUUGACUGUAUCUGAAUACUCCAUGACUCGGUGUAAGUGCUCAUAGGGAUCCUCAGUAGGCAGUCCUCCAAACUGUUGUUGUUGAACCAAAGCAAUAAGACUAGGUUUCAGCUCGAAGUUCUCUGCCUCAAUAGUUGGCCAAAUCGGUCCUGUGAUAUAGCACUGACUUUUGGGCAUCCAAAGAUCACGAAGCAAUGCCAUCUUAACCGAGUGUAACUAUACCUGCAAUUAGUUCAGAUUUCCUACAAACACUCAUAAACAGUAAACACUGGUCAGAAAGUUAGUAUCCUAAUAAGCCGAAGCAACAAAAAGUAAAAAGGUAAAAGAAGCACAGAAAUCAAUUUGAAUGGAAAUUUAAACAAAAACUAAACUAAGCCUAGUCUAUAGCUUCACACAAUCGUUCGACGCUAGUCCCCGGCAACGGCGCCAAAAUGAUCAAUCGAAAGUAUAGUGGGGUUUUUACGACCAAACUACGGAUGUCGUGUUCUCCACAGGGACUAGGCAAAUCGAUGAUCGUGCUUGGCUAAAGCUAGGUAACACAAUUCAGCUUAUGAAUGCAAACAUAAAACCUAAACUAUCAAUGAUUGUCGCCAAAGAAAAUGCAGAUAAGCAAAGGUAGAUUCAGAUUUUACUUGAUGUAUUUUUUUGGUGUUUUUGUUUUAGUUGAGAAAUAAAAUGCUAACACAAGCAAACAUCAAUGGCUAGGGAAUUAAAAAGACAUGAACAUAUAUAUAACUCGCUAACAUAUAACAGGGGGAAGAAACAUAAUUAUGUGACGAGAGAAAGAAGCUUCACAUCACCAACAUAUAUGUCAAAGGGACAAAGCUAGCACUGAUCACACAUAACAUGCACUAUAUCUUACAAGUACGAUACUGAACAAAUAUCAGGUUGCAAGAUCUUAUCAAAUCUGAAUAUUACAUGUACUACACGUCUCAAAUUUCAGAAAAUUCAGAGAUUAGAGGGAGAAAGAGAGAUAGGAGCAGCAAGAUUGAGGAGAGAGCAUCAACAAAGGGAGGUUGAGAGAGAGAUUCAGCAAAGGGUGUUGGAGAAGGAGAAGCAGCAGGGGGUGUAGCAAUAGAGAAGCAGCAAGGUGGCGCUAGAGAGAAGAAGAGGCGCAAGGAGAGAGGUUGAGAGCAGCAGCGGCGACAGGUAGAAGAAGUUGAGCGGAGGAGGAGCAGCAGUAGGGACGAGGGGAGGAGCAGCAGCGAAGGGGUUGAGAGAGAGAGAGAGAGAGACAGCAGGAGGUUGGAGUUCAGAGCAGCAGCAGCGUGGAGGGUUGAGAGAGUAGCAGCAGAGGAAUAGAAGAAGGAGCAGUAGCUUGGGCGCAAGAAGAGCAGCAGGGGCGCAUAGGAAGAAGGAGCAGCAGCAGGUUGCAUGGAAGAAGGAGCAGCAGCAGGGGACGUUGAGAGAGAAGAGGAGCAAGAGCGGGGCAGCAAGGAGGAGAGAGGCGCUUGGUGCUGAUGGCGGCAGUGGCUGGAGAUGGUGGCGCUAGUGGAGUGGUGGAUGGAGGCUGCUGGUGGUGGGUAUGCUGGUGGAUGGAUAGGUGACGGAG